Molecule: ribosomal RNA, 460 nt
Filed under: uncultured bacterium
Lineage: Bacteria
Description: partial 16S ribosomal RNA
Rfam family: Bacterial small subunit ribosomal RNA
Source: RNAcentral
CCUACGGGCGACAGCAGUGAGGAAUAUUGGUCAAUGGACGAGAGUCUGAACCAGCCAAGUAGCGUGAAGGAUGACUGCCCUAUGGGUUGUAAACUUCUUUUAUAUGGGAAUAAAAUGUUCCACGUGUGGGAUUUUGUAUGUACCAUAUGAAUAAGGAUCGGCUAACUCCGUGCCAGCAGCCGCGGUAAUACGGAGGGUCCGAGCGUUAUCCGGAUUUAUUGGGUUUAAAGGGAGCGUAGGUGGAUUGUUAAGUCAGUUGUGAAAGUUUGCGGCUCAACCGUAAAAUUGCAGUUGAAACUGGCAGUCUUGAGUACAGUAGAGGUGGGCGGAAUUCGUGGUGUAGCGGUGAAAUGCUUAGAUAUCACGAAGAACUCCGAUUGCGAAGGCAGUUCACUGGACUGCAACUGACACUGAGGCUCGAAAGUGUGGGUAUCAAACAGGAUUAGAUACCCGAGUAGUC